This 520-nucleotide ribosomal RNA is filed under the name uncultured Glomus. RNAcentral's name for it is "SSU rRNA". It matches the Rfam family "Eukaryotic small subunit ribosomal RNA", at positions 569 to 1082 of the family's 1831-position model. The record is from RNAcentral. Lineage: Eukaryota; Fungi; Glomeromycota; Glomeromycetes; Glomerales; Glomeraceae.
AGCAGCCGCGGUAAUUCCAGCUCCAAUAGCGUAUAUUAAAGUUGUUGCAGUUAAAAAGCUCGUAGUUGAAUUUCGGGGUCAGUAAGUUGGUCGUGCCACUGGUAUGUACUGGCUUUACUGAUUCCUCCUUCUUGUAGAACCGUAAUGCCAUUAAGUUGGUGUUGCGGGGAAAACCAGGACUGCUACUUUGAAAAAAGUUAGAGUGUUUAAAGCAAGCUAACGCUUGAAUACAUUAGCAUGGAAUAAUGAAAUAGGACGAACGAUCCUAUUUUUGUUGGUUUUCUAGGAUUGACGUAAUGAUUAAUAGGGAUAGUUGGGGGGCAUUAGUAUUCAAUUGUCAGAGGUGAAAUUCUUGGAUUUAUUGAAGACUAACUACUGCGAAAGCAUUUGCCAAGGAUGUUUUCAUUAAUCAAGAACGAAAGUUAGGGGAUCGAAGACGAUCAGAUACCGUCGUAGUCUUAACCAUAAACUAUGCCGACUAGGGAUCGGAUGAUGUUAAUUUUUUUCAAUGACUCAUUCG